GGUGUUGACGAUGCCCGAGGCAAGCCCCGAAUCGCUCGGCGCGACGUCGCUCAUCGCGGCGAGCAGCACCGGAUUGAACGCGACGCCCGCGCCGACGCCGACGAGUAUCAUCCCCGGCAGCACGUGCGCGACGAAGCCGCCGUCGGCGGGUGCACGCGCGAAGAGGGCAAGGCCCGCGGCCGCGAUGACGAGCCCGGCGCCGAUCGCGCGGCGGAUGCCGAAGCGCAUCACGAUCUUCGCGGACAAGCCGAGCGAGAACGCGGCCAUGAUCAGGUUCGCGGGCAGAAACGCCAGGCCGACCUGGAGCGGCCCGUAGCCGAGCACGCGCUGCAUGUAGAGCGCGGAAAGAAAGAACCACGCGAACAUCGCGGCCGCCCACAGCACGCCGAUCACGUUCGCGACCGCGACGUUGCGCUGCGUGGCGAGCGCGAGCGGCAUCAGCGGAUGCGCGGCGCGCGUCUCGAUCGCGAUGAACGCCGCGAGCAGCGCGGCCGCGCCUGCGAGCGUCGCGACCGUCUGCGUCGACAGCCAGCCGGCCUCGUUGCCGUUGACGAUGCCGUAGACGGCGAGCAUCAGCGAAGCGGUCACGGCGAUCGCGCCCGCGACGUCGAGCCGCGCGUCGGCCGCCUGCGGGCGCACCUUCGGCAGCAGCGCGGCGGACAGCGCGUACGCGGCGACGCCGAUCGGCAGAUUGACGAGGAAGAUCCAGUGCCAGCUGAGCACGCUCGUGAGGACGCCGCCGAGCAGCACGCCGAGGCUGCCGCCGCCCGCGCAGACGAAGCUGUAGACGCCCAUCGCCUUCGCGCGCUCGCCCGGCUCGGUGAAGAGAUUCAUGAUGAGCGACAGCGCGACGGCGGACACCACCGCGCCACCGAACCCCUGCACCGCGCGCGCGGCGAUCAGCACGAACUGCGUUGGCGCGAGCCCGCACGCGAGCGAUGCGAGCGUGAACAGCGUGAGGCCGGCGAGGAACAUCCGGCGCUGGCCGUACAGAUCGCCGAGCCGGCCGCCCAGCAGCAGGCAGCCGCCGAACGUCAGCAUGUAAGCGUUCACGAUCCAGACGAGCGCGGUUUCGGUGAAGUGCAGGUCCGCGCCGAUCGACGGCAGCGCGACGUUGACGAUCGUCGAAUCGAGCACGAUCAUCAGCACGCCCAGACAGAGAACGACGAGCGCAUACCAGCGCUUGGGGCCGUGCAGACCGUGGGUCAUCGGGAAUGCCUCCGAAGGGUGGGAGGCAGCAUUGUAAGCGUGUCGUGAGUUGCCUUCCUGCCGGUUGCUGACAGGCCGUUCGCUUGCGUGCGGGCCGCGGCGGCGCGCGGCCCGCGUGUGGCGCGGCGCUUACCGGCGGAACGUGUCGACGGCCGUGCGGCCGACCGCGGGAUCGUCGGUGAAGAAGCCGUCGAUGCCCGCGCGCAGAUACGCCUGGAUUUCGCGCACCGAGCCCGCCGUGUGGCGCGCGCUCGGCGCGCCGCCGUCCUUCAGCGACGCCGGCAGGAAGUUGUUCUCCGGCCGGAACGUAUACGGAUGUACGGUGAGCCCCGCCUCGUGCGCGAAGCGUACGUAGCCGGUCGGCCGCUGCAGCGAGCCGUCCGGGCCGACCGGAAUGAUCGACGUCUUGUACGGGCCGACGCCGUUCGCGUACGUCGCGAUCUCGCGCAUGCCGCCUUGCGUCGACAGGUCGCCGUACGUGCGCGCGUCGCCCGCCUUCACGAAAUCGUACGGGCGCUGCUUCGGCUCGUCCAUCAGUUGCACGAGCUUCCAGUUCGGCUGGCUCGCGCCGAUCCGCGCGCGGAUCGCCUUCAGAUUCGCGACUUCGAACGACUGAAUGUAGACGGUCGCGUUGCGCGCGGUGUAGGGGUCCUUGCGCAGCGCGUCGACGAGGCGAUCCUCGAGCGGCAGGCCGAUCGACUGGAAGUAGGUCGGGUGCUUCGUUUCCGGAUAGAGGUGGAUCGUGCGGCCGACCUGCGCGGACAUCUGUUUCGCGAGCGCGACGAUCUCGUCGAACGUCGGGAUCUCGAACUGAUCGUCGUACGCGGUGUUCGCGGGACGGAUCUGCGGGAUGCGCUCGCGCGCGCGCAGCGUCUUCAGUUCGGCGAGCGUGAAAUCCUCGGUGAACCAGCCGGUGAGCUGCGCGCCGUCGAUCGUCUUCGUCGUCUUGCGGCUCGCGAACUGCGGCAGCGUCGAUACGUUCGUCGUGCCCGAGAUCUCGUUCUCGUGGCGCGCGACGAGCACGCCGUCUCGCGUCGCGACGAGGUCCGGUUCGAUCACGUCCGCGCCGUCCUCGAUCGCCUUGCGGUACGACGCGAGCGUGUGCUCGGGGCGCAACGCGCUCGCGCCGCGGUGGCCCACCACCUGCACCUUCGCGGAGAUCGGCUGCGUGUAGUCGGGGUCGUCGCCGCCGCAGGCGGCGAGCGCGAGUGUCGCCGCGCACGCGAGCGCGACAGGGGAGAAAGCGAACGAGCGCUUGAGAAACAUGUCGUCGAUCCUGUGAAACGAAAACGAACCCGGGAAAAGGCGCCUGCGCCCGCGCGGCGAGCGCUUGAGUGCGGCCGCGACGCAUCGUGCGCGGCAGCGGCCGGACGGGAUGCGAUCGUCGCAGCGAAUGAUUACAUAUGUAUUACUUGAUGCUGUCUAUUUUUGUACGCGGUGCGCGCGGCGCCGUGUCGGGGGCCGCACAUUGGCCGCGGGGUCCGGCGCGGCGUGUGCCGUGGCGGCGCGCAUGCGCGAAGGACGGGGAAGGGGCGAAGGGGACGCAGGGUAUAAAGAAGGCGAAUACUGCGAAUAUUGCGAAGAAGGCGAAGAAGGCGAAGGACGCGAAGGACGCGAAGGACGCGAAGGACGCGAAGGACGCGAAGGACGCGGCGGCGUCCGCAAGCGGACGUGCGAAGCAUGCCGACCGGCGCGGCAGCGCCGCGACGUCGGCCGCGAGGUGCUCGGCGCGGCCUGAUCGCGCGCCGGGCCGCGCGUCAGCGCUCGACGAUCGCGGCGACGCCGAGCGCGAUGAACAGCCCGCCCGCGAGAUAGCGCCCGAUGGUCAUCGCCGUGCCGCCCGGCGCCGCGCG
Molecule: ribosomal RNA, 3062 nt
Filed under: Burkholderia mallei 2002721280
Lineage: Bacteria; Pseudomonadati; Pseudomonadota; Betaproteobacteria; Burkholderiales; Burkholderiaceae
Description: 23S ribosomal RNA
Source: RNAcentral